Small nucleolar RNA from Suricata suricatta (meerkat), 133 nucleotides. Its record names the gene SNORA70. It matches the Rfam family "Small nucleolar RNA SNORA70". Rfam says of the family: snoRNA U70 seems to be exclusive to mammals and is a member of the H/ACA class of snoRNA which contain H (ANANNA) and ACA box motifs. H/ACA box snoRNAs are involved in the conversion of uridines to pseudouridines (5-ribosyluracil) a constituent of structural RNAs (transfer, ribosomal, small nuclear, and small nucleolar). The record is from Ensembl. Lineage: Eukaryota; Metazoa; Chordata; Mammalia; Carnivora; Herpestidae.
ACUCAGCCAAUUAAACGGAACAUACACUUUCCCCUUGGGGGCCAGUGUGCCAUGGCUGCGAACAGUAGCCUCUUGGGUAGUGUAUACAGCCUGUUGUUUGUAUGAUUUCCCUUAAGGGACUUUGGAAACAGUG